AUGUGUGUCCCAAAAGACCAAAGAGGUAUGGGUUCGCGAGAUGUACACUGUUUCAAUAUGGCAUUGUUAGCCAAACAAGCGUGGAGUUUGCUUGAUAAUCCCGAGUCUUUAUGUGCUACUAUCUUGAGAGCUAAAUAUUCCCCGGAGGGCGAUUUAAUAAGUGCAACUCUAAAAAAGGUUCCUCUUUUACUUGGUAAAGUAUUAUGGCGGGAGUGA
This 216-nucleotide ribosomal RNA is filed under the name Triticum aestivum (bread wheat). RNAcentral's name for it is "partial small subunit ribosomal RNA". Lineage: Eukaryota; Viridiplantae; Streptophyta; Magnoliopsida; Poales; Poaceae. The record is from RNAcentral.